CCUUCGUCCUCUCUACGACGGAUCGUCGGGCACGUUCCUGCCCGUGGAAAGGAUUUGGU
This is a non-coding RNA of Propionibacterium acidifaciens F0233, 59 nucleotides long. Lineage: Bacteria; Bacillati; Actinomycetota; Actinomycetes; Propionibacteriales; Propionibacteriaceae. The record is from Rfam.